GAUGAACGCUGGCGGCGUGCCUAAUACAUGCAAGUCGAACGAAACUUCUUUAUCACCGAGUGCUUGCACUCACCGAUAAAGAGUUGAGUGGCGAACGGGUGAGUAACACGUGGGCAACCUGCCCAAAAGAGGGGGAUAACACUUGGAAACAGGUGCUAAUACCGCAUAACCAUAGUUACCGCAUGGUAACUAUGUAAAAGGUGGCUAUACUACCGCUUUUGGAUGGUCCCGCGGCGCAUUAGCUAGUUGGUAGGGUAAAGGCUUACCAAGGCAAUGAUGCGUAGCCGAAUUGAGAGGUUGAUCGGCCACAUUGGGACUGAGACACGGCCCAAACUCCUACGGGAGGCAGCAGUAGGGAAUCUUCCACAAUGGGCGAAAGCCUGAUGGAGCAACGCCGCGUGGGUGAAGAAGGUCUUCGGAUCGUAAAACCCUGUUGUUAGAGAAGAAAGUGCGUGAGAGUAACUGUUCACGUUUCGACGGUAUCUAACCAGAAAGCCACUGCUAACUACGUG
Molecule: ribosomal RNA, 512 nt
Filed under: uncultured bacterium
Lineage: Bacteria
Description: partial 16S ribosomal RNA
Rfam family: Bacterial small subunit ribosomal RNA
Source: RNAcentral